ACCUCAAAAAAAGAAAAAGAAAAAAAGGCGCCACACGAGCACCGGCGAUUGGCUGGUGGCUCCUCGCCGCCAUGGCGCCAUCUCUCGGUGGCCGGAUCCUCCCUCGCGGCGGCGCUGGCGCGUGCUUGGCUCCUGACCAGCGGAUGAAUGGAGUGGCGGACUGGUGGCAAGUGGAAGCAGCGAUCGGUCUCUAUAUGCUUGUGGAUUCGCCCAGGUGGACUGGAAUGCAUAGCUUAAGCAGCAAUGGCAAUAUAGCAUAUUAGCGAGUAACGGACUACUUGCCGACAAUCUGGGCAAAUAGAUGAGGGAACACAUGAUGUUAUGAGCAACUUCAGUGCAUCUAUGUUUAUAUUGAAAUUUGAGGUGAAGACUGUUUAAGAGAAGUUGCAUGAAACAGUUGUGUAAGGGAAUAAUAGAAGCAUGAGAUAUCUCAAUCUUAUAGCAGAAAUUAUCUUCAGGUUAUUUUAUACUGACGGAGAUGAGCUUAAGAAAGAAAGGAUGAUCACCUGAAAUACAUGGAGUUAGCACACCGUCACCAAUAACCAUUGAUGUUGCUAGAAUUGUCACUAGGAAAAGUAUGACCUUAAAUUUCGGGCUGUUUUCCAUCUUUUCCUUAAUCCAAUGAGCCCGCUUGACACGAUUCGUAGGGGACUCUAACUUGUAGUGAGAGACUGUUGCAUCUUCAGCCUGCUGGUUUGGUAUCAAGCUAAUCCUAGCAUACCGAGAUAUCAAGGAAUAAAGUGCAAAUGUUCCGCCUACAAAGGUUGUGAAUUCAUAAGACAUGACAAACUCUCACAUGAACAAAAUAUUGUUUGCAUGCAUAUGGUCUUUUAAGUACUUAUCACAUGUUUUGGAUUUUCCUUUAUGGACCUAAGUGCUUAAUGCUCAGACCCUAGCACUUUUAAUGAUUCUUAGUACCCUAUAAGAUGCUGUCUAAACCUAUGCAGUGGGAUUGUGGGAAUAUUUAUGCUACUAUUUAUUUUCUAUGCUUUGCUCCUAUGGCCAUUCGCUUCUUUAUAUUUUUUAACAGAAACACUGGCUGUCUAAUCAGCACAAUAUUUUCUAAUUUUUAAAAGUCUUCUCUGUAAACAUGCAAUUUCUGUCAAGAAGAUAACUGGAAGGUAUUUACUUACCAUCGCCGUUGUCAUUAGCUCUCAAGACAAUGAAACAAUAUUUCAUCAAUGGAAGGAGAAGUACAGUAUAGAUUAUCAAGGACAUGACACCAAGGAGGUCAUCUGUGUCCUUGAUCCCACCAGUAAAGGUGCUGGAGAACACAUAGAGGGGUGAAGUUCCCAUGUCCCCAUAAACCACACCUAGGCUCUGGAAGGCCAAGUGCAGUGUCGUCGCCCAGCCAACCUGCUUUGCGAGGAAGUACCCAUCAUAACAGGAAUCGAGAUGGAUGCAGUUCCCUUGCUUAUAUACUGUAAGAAAAUGAAGAUAUCUGUCGAACCGAGGAAGAGAGCAAGGGAAGAACAGACCUUGGCUGCAUAGCUGUGGCCACCAGGAAUCUUCCCGGCCUCCAUAUGCAGGGAGUCGAACCUCUGCAGCCUCCUUGGCGGCGACGGCGGCACCUUCACCGAUGCAAACGCAGAGCCCGCAGCACCCCCUUCGGCAGCUCCAUUGCCGUUUGCCUUCAGAGGCUCAGCCAUCGUCAAGGCACACACCGGGUGGGCCCAGGCAUGACAACAGGUUCGUUACUUUUCUUUGCAAUCGCGUGUGAUACUGUGAUCCGAACUUGUCUGUGGUGCUGGGGUAUGAACGUGGGAUCCUCGUGCUGCAACCAACAGACUUCUCACUGAAUGCUGGUGAAGUCAAAUAUUGUUAUCGUUCGCUUUAGUCGGUCUCACCGGAGCCGUCUUUCUACGGCGCAGUUGGGAAUCUUGUGAUCUUGAACAGUAAGCUAACCAGGGAAGGUGGCUACGGGGGAUGGCACGGUGACUUUUCUGCACGAGCUUCUCUUGUCACCUGUGACUUGUGAGCGAGAGACGUCUCAACCAGAAGCCAGCCACGCGUGUCAGUCAUCUCGCCAUCAGACCCGUCAAGGGCUUUGAACAGUGUGUAACAGACGGCCCAAAUCGGCAGCCAAAACGAUUGACCGCCGGUGCCGUGCGUCCGACUCGAGCAGCCAUUCUAGGCGAGCGGAAGAUGACAAGGCAACAGCAGGCCCGCCCGGUGGUUUCAACUACCUUUCAUGCGAUGCGAUUCUCCCAAGGCGGAAGGCGGGCUUGACCGGAUGCACUGACUGACCAUGUAUCAUGUACGCAUGCUUUCUCGCGCACGCAGGAUCUUCCCGGAGAAGGGUCGUCCUUGAUGGUGGCAUCAAGUGAUAGGCCACUUGCCUCACCAAAGCGGCCUAGCUCUUUUGACCGCAUGCAUGCACAUGCGCGUGAUCUGAUCACAUCACAGAGGUACUCUCUUUAUCGAUUGUCACUCGGCUUUGGCCGCUUCUCCUCCUGCCAAAACUUUCCAGGCUUAGUCUCUAGUGCGUGUCACGCGGGCGGUAGAUUAGAGGGAGCAAGUAAACGCCGCAACAUCACUGCUGCUGCUAUGUUCCACUGCCGCUCUGCCAGCGUAGCUAGUAUGUACUAGGUUUUAGUGGUUCAUUGGGAUGGUAAUCAAGUGUACGCGUGAAUCUUUCACUUCGAUAUUUCAGUGGUAAAUACAUCGUUUUUCAA
Long non-coding RNA from Triticum aestivum (bread wheat), 2675 nucleotides. RefSeq lists it as uncharacterized. NCBI's taxonomy places the organism in Eukaryota, Viridiplantae, Streptophyta, Magnoliopsida, Poales, Poaceae. The transcript has 7 exons. The record is from RefSeq and is a predicted model, not a curated record.